RNAcentral lists this ribosomal RNA (318 nucleotides) under uncultured bacterium. RNAcentral's name for it is "bacterial SSU rRNA". It matches the Rfam family "Bacterial small subunit ribosomal RNA", at positions 32 to 334 of the family's 1533-position model. The record is from RNAcentral.
GAUAACGCUGGCGGCGCACAUAAGACAUGCAAGUCGAACGGACAGAAGUUCGAUUCUUUACGAUUGAAUGGAUGUUAGUGGCGGACUGGUGAGUAACACGUAAGCAACCUGCCUAUCAGAGGGGAAUAACAGUGAGAAAUCAUUGCUAAUACCGCAUAUGCUAACAGUAUCGCAUGAUACAGUUAGGAAAGGAGCAAUCCGCUGAUAGAUGGGCUUGCGUCUGAUUAGCUAGUUGGUGGGGUAACGGCCUACCAAGGCGACGAUCAGUAGCCGAGCUGAGAGGCUCAACGGCCACAUUGGGACUGAGACACGGCCCAG